Molecule: transfer RNA, 86 nt
Filed under: Myxococcales bacterium
Lineage: Bacteria; Pseudomonadati; Myxococcota; Myxococcia; Myxococcales
Description: tRNA-Leu
Rfam family: tRNA
About the family: Transfer RNA (tRNA) molecules are approximately 80 nucleotides in length. Their secondary structure includes four short double-helical elements and three loops (D, anti-codon, and T loops).
Source: RNAcentral
GCCGGGAUGGCGGAAUCGGUAGACGCAGAGGACUUAAAAUCCUCCGGCUUUCAGCUGUCCGGGUUCGAGCCCCGGUCCCGGCACCA